This 459-nucleotide ribosomal RNA is filed under the name uncultured bacterium. Its description in RNAcentral is "partial 16S ribosomal RNA". It matches the Rfam family "Bacterial small subunit ribosomal RNA", at positions 338 to 795 of the family's 1533-position model. The record is from RNAcentral.
CCUACGGUGAGCAGCAGUGAGGAAUAUUGGUCAAUGGACGAGAGUCUGAACCAGCCAAGUAGCGUGAAGGAUGACUGCCCUAUGGGUUGUAAACUUCUUUUAUAUGGGAAUAAAAUGUUCCACGUGUGGGAUUUUGUAUGUACCAUAUGAAUAAGGAUCGGCUAACUCCGUGCCAGCAGCCGCGGUAAUACGGAGGAUCCGAGCGUUAUCCGGAUUUAUUGGGUUUAAAGGGUGCGCAGGCGGAAGAUCAAGUCAGCGGUAAAAUUGAGAGGCUCAACCUCUUCGAGCCGUUGAAACUGGUUUUCUUGAGUGAGUGAGAAGUAUGCGGAAUGCGUGGUGUAGCGGUGAAAUGCGUAGAUAUUAGGAGGAACACCAGUGGCGAAGGCGGCCUGCUGGACGACAACUGACGGUGAGGCGCGAAAGCGUGGGGAGCAAACAGGAUUAGAUACCCGUGUAGUC